Acanthaster planci (crown-of-thorns starfish) is the source of this 1692-nucleotide long non-coding RNA. The record is from RefSeq and is a predicted model, not a curated record. Lineage: Eukaryota; Metazoa; Echinodermata; Asteroidea; Valvatida; Acanthasteridae.
CCCCUUUUCACAUGACUAAAUGAGAAAAUAAGUAUUUUUAAAUUAUUUGAAAAACGGCUGAUUCAUUGCAUUGUUUUUUAUUCACGUCCUGGAAAAUCUGCGGGAAGUGAAAUCACUAAGUCGAUUUCACAAUCAAAUUAAUGUUUUCAUAGAGGAUUAUAAAAACAGUGCAUCAGUGUUCGAACAUAAAUAGAAAUUUAACAUUAAUAACUGCUUAUACAAUUCUUGAUGGUUACCGUUUGCAGACAUGUAUCGAUGUGGAAGAAUGUGCAGCUAGUAAUGGAGGCUGUGAUAUCUUGUCCGAACGUCUAAUACGAAGGAUAAUUGUCCAUGGAUUCCAAACAGUGGCCAAGAGGACAGUGGCAGUGAUCAGCUUGGGAACAGUUGCGACGACAACGAUGAUAAUGACAGCAUUCCGGAUAAUAAGAACAACUGUCCCUUUGUUAAGAACUAUCUGCAGGAGGACGGUGACGGUGUGGGGGACGCCUGAGACAAUUGCCCAGUCGCAAACGUAGACCAGGCAGACAACCACCGUGACGGUCAGGGAGAUGUUUGCAAUAUCGACGAUGACGACGAUGGAUACAAUGACACCAUGGACAACUGUCCGAGGACAGCAAACGAGGACCAGCUACUGGACGAAGAUUCUGAUGGUAUUGGGGACGCUUGCGACCUUGCCCCGAUCAUCCGAGCCGUGACACGGACCACAACGGAUAUAGUGACCCUUGUGAUCCGGUUAUGCUGAUCGGAAAACACGCCCUGGCAGCUCUCGACUACUCAGGUACUCUUUUCGUCAAUAACCUUGGGCAGGCAAACGACUAUAUCGGGUUCAUCUUUGAUUACCAAAGCAACAGGAAGUUUUAUCUGGCCGUGUGGCGGCGGGAAAAUGUGAACAAUCGGAAUGCGAAGGCGGACAUUCGAGGACAUCAGGUGAAGAAAGUGCACUCGUCCAGUGGGCUCGCUGCAAUUUACCACUCGCACACAACAGCCAAUGAGGUGAAGCUACUUUGGCAUGAUCCAUUAUUGCAAGGGUGGACAGAUGACGCACAGAUGGACUCUUAAACAUCGUCCCGAUGUCAGAUUGAUCAGGGGGCUAUUCAACCUCCAACGUCCAGGCGCCUUCUGACGAUAAAGGGAAGCAGCGCUGUCAUUUCAAUGAUCCCGAUGAUGACAAAGGCCAGAUUGUAACUGCCAGUUUGGUCAAAAAUCCAACCUGGAUGGAAAAAAAUUACUUUUAGAUACACACGUUUGAUAAUAGUCUACAAUAUAAAUGCUCUUUUCAAAUGCAGUAUACAAACAUUUCGUUGCCCCGUCGUUCUCUUCCACUCAAAUGAGAGGCGUUGGACGUAAUGUCAUAAUUAUAGUAAUCAAUAUCGCAACAGUGCUAACAAGUCUCUCUUUGGCAGUUCAGCCUCGUUUUCAUAGCUGGUAUUUCCUUACAAGAAGCACAAGGUCUCGUAAAUUUACAGACAACUCAGUUGGUUCAAAGCUAUCUUACUCAAGUGAAAUGUUUCAAUUUUUAUCAAAGUAUGUGAUGGAACUCCUCCAUCACUUGGUUACCGGUUGAUUCUUUCUAAUAUUUUGGUGUAAUAUGCAAAUGGUUUGUGAAUAGUUUACCUGGUAAGAAGCCCGCGAUAGGUCGGCACAUCCCACUGAACAAACCUAUCCAGCCGUAAGCGUUGGCCAUUUUCUCAG